AAAAUUUCUUUCACUACUUAG
This 21-nucleotide microRNA is filed under the name Homo sapiens (human). RNAcentral's name for it is "hsa-miR-3606-3p". The record is from miRBase by way of RNAcentral. Lineage: Eukaryota; Metazoa; Chordata; Mammalia; Primates; Hominidae.